Molecule: long non-coding RNA, 1633 nt
Organism: Suricata suricatta (meerkat)
Lineage: Eukaryota; Metazoa; Chordata; Mammalia; Carnivora; Herpestidae
Source: Ensembl
AUGUCUGUUCAAAUUUCUUCCCACCUAACGUGGAAAUCCUUCCUCGGACAUCGCAACACUACACGUAAGGCUGAGAAUAGUACAACCAUGUCCAUGCUGAGAUUCACACAGUUUCUCAUAUCACUUUCAGGUAGUAAAUUGAUUUACGUUUUUUUUUUCCCUAAUUGGCAGCACCAGUUGCCAUUCCUUAUACUCUUAGAUUUUUUUUUUGUUUUUGUUUUUACUGAACUCUUGCAUGAUUUAUCUUGUUACCAUCCUAAAUAAACAUUUAUUAAACAGAAUAAAUUGUCUUUUUUUUUUUUUUGGUGAUUUAGAGUUUUGGAAUAUCCUUUGUCAGGAUGAUUUUUUUCAGUUUUUGAUUGGCAACAAAAGCUCUAUAUAGAGCUGUAAACAUUGUCCACUAAUUAAUUUAAAACUUUCUCUAUUUUGAGGAAAAAUUGGAGUUUUUCCUCCUGAUUUUGCCGUUUUAUUGAUUUGCUACAUUUUUUUGAUUUUAUGCAAAGCUUAUGACUUGGUUUUUCUGUGACGCACCAGACAAUGUUGAAGUGUUGAAUACUAACAGUGCUUACUACAAGGAUAUAGUAUUUUGCUUGCUGCAUUAAAACUAUUUGUGGAAGAAGGGAGCUAGAUGGGUUUUAUUUUUAUCUAGUGUGUCUCCUAACAUCUCUCUGAAUUGGCAGGGUAAUUGCGUAGUUUAACCUCUUUCUCUCUCAUCUUGGUCUCCGCACCCCGUGCCUCAUGGUUUUGCUUUGGUGUAGCCGUUAUGUUUCUAGCAUUCUAGUCUUGGUUUAGUUUCUGUUUUCAUCCUUGGAAGAUUCUGAGAACGCAGACGAAGGGUGGGAAAUUGUCACAGAAGUGGAGCAGACUGCUCGCUGCCCACACUGGGGGUGGGGUAGGAGGCUCACACUGUUUUUGUGCAUGUAAAUCAAACACGAGCUGGGACCAUUUGUGGGAGAGCACAGUGCAGAUGACAAGAAUCUGGGACCUCAGCAGGCUGCCUGGCUUGGGAAGUACCAACGCCUUCUCUCGUCAUUCUGCCCACAUAAAAAUAAAGCCGGCCAAGAUGGGACCACCAUUUUGUGGCCAACCGGGAUGACAUCUUCAUAAAUAGGGUGGCGGCCCCACACACGUAGGAAACAAAGGCCUUGUAUAAUGAGCCUUAUAAAGCACUGUUUCAGAGUCCCUUUCACGUCUCCAAUAAAGUUUAUCAGGUAAUUAUAUUUUUUAUCCAGCUGUUUUAUUUGUGUGUGUGUGUUUUUAAUGAAAGCAUGAGAAAUCCAGCAAAGUUAACAAAUUUGCCCCCUAAGUGAUAAUUCUGUGAAAAGCUGCUGGCUCUUGGCUGCCCACAGACACUAAUCCAUUCCUGUCCAGCUCAGCGACAGUUUCGGAGGAAUGUUUCCUGCUUCCUUACAGUCUGGUCAAGAGGGGAGCAGGCAGAUAGAAGGUGGGGGGAGGAGUAAGGUCACAGGUGGAAGGCCUUGGGAGAAGAUCCAGUCCAGCUUUUCCAAAGAUCUCACGAGGUUAGAUGACUUCCUGGAAAGGCCAGGCAAAGAUUUCCUUUCAAUAGAAACCCUGAGUGAGCACCUGAGCGGCUCAGUUAAGCUUCCAUCUUUGGCUCAGGUCACAAGCCCUA